AAAAUGUUGCAAGGCCCGCGCGUGCCAGGGGACGACCAGCGCGCCGGUUCGGCCGAUGCGCGGGUGGAAAACGAUUCCCUUGAAUAAAAUAGCAUUAGGUAUGCGGGUACGUGGUUACAGAUAAUCUUCCCGUAUCCGUACCGGGCUUACCGAUGGUACAAAUUAUUUUUUCCAUUUAUUCUUCUCAAACACUUGCCCUAAUUUAAUCUUUUCCAAAGGGAUUGAAGAGGCUUGAAAAGGACUGUGGAGGAAUUCAACAUACAGGGGAUUUAAUCCUCACAAUCCCCUUUAAUCCCCCUCAAACCCAAUGCAAUCGAACAAGGCAUAAUACGGUUUGCCGGUUGGCUAAAGAGUGUUUAUACACAGACCAGCAGUCGAUCGAAUUUUCCGGAAUUUUCGUUCCAAAUCAACAAAAUCUGCAAACCGAAAUAGGAGUACAUCUGAAAGUGACAAGCUGGCAUGCAGAAAUUUACAUAUCGCCAUGACUGACUAGCCCGCAAGGUCAAACAACAGGCAAGCAACUACUCCUCUAGGACGGAAAACAAACAUCACAAGUAGGGUGCAGUACUUGCUAACCGGGUUAUUGGGCCGGUAAUAACCGGACCGGAGCAUGUAUGUACAAGAGGCAGCCUCACUUCACUUGACUUGAACUCGGAGUUUGGUUGAGCUAAGCUCGAUCAGCCCAUGAUCAGCGCGCGAGCAGAACGGGGACGGCGUGCGGCGGCGGCACGGGCGGCGAAGGGGCGGCGAAGGGGAGGGUGCGGAGGACGAUGAAGCGCACGCGGCGGGGCAGGAUGCGCAGCGGCGCCGCGCACAGCAGCCGCUCCAGCGCCCGCGCCACCGCCGCCGUGUACUCCUCCAGCAGCUCCGCCAUGACCGCCACCAGGAUCAUGGUCGAUCCGAUAUCAAUCCUCUGCUCUGCUUGUUGCGCCUGUGUAGCGGUGAGUGCGGUGUGAUGGCCCUGUUUGGGUUGGGUUGUGCUGAGCCUUGCUGCUGCUGCUGCUUGCUUGGAGCCUGGGCUGUUGGGUCGCAGUUUCCAGAAACGGGGGCUUCGCGGCGGAUAGCUUUGUUCGGCCUAGUGUCGGUCUUAUCCGAUGCAACCGCUGUGGGACCCUGGCGGCUGAUCUUUUGGGGAGCGAACAGCUGGGGCGCCGAGUCACUAGCAAUGCUAAAUGACUCUUUUGGCCAGCGCGCUAGGUAGGCACAAAAAUCACUAAUAAGAAACUGCGACCAACACCGACAGAAAAACGAGAGAAAUUCAUAAAUUCUUCGAUGUUAUGGCUUAUAGUACAAUUGUUGCAUCACGAGACUUGUCACAGUAUUGCCUGCGUUAUGCUUUCAGACAGUUUUUCCAAUUUCAAUGCAUGCAAUCAACGCUUUCUAGCAUGUCGGGCCAAUCUUGCUUCUCAUUUGAUGUCAUCAACAGUUUUGUGUCUUCCUAGUUGGGUGUACAAAGAUAGACCGGACCAAAGACGCGGAUGAUCACUUUGACGAACUUACACACUGACUCAAUUGUAGCAUCUUCAUGAAUGCAAAGAUAUUUUUCGGCAUAGUCAACCGGAAUGCCAUAUGCAAUCAUCCGCAUAGUUGUCGACAUUCUUUGAUAUGCGCUAAGACCCUUCAAGCCCGCGGCGUUUCUCCUUUGAGUAAAAAAAUCGAGAAUUGGCCUCGCAAGCUUGCACUAAUUUUAUGAAGAGGGGUCGGGCAUUAAAUUCCUUCUUAGAAAGAGGUACGGCGGAUAUGUGGAAUUGUCCACGAAGUAGUCUUCGAUCAACAUCAUGUUCCCGAGAUGACGGUUCCGAGGGAUGCAAAGAUGGCCGAUGGUCAAUCCUCGUCGUCUCUUUCGGUUCCGGUCCUCGUGCUCCUUCACGGCGAGCAACAUCACCACCAUCUGCUAUUGAUGGUUCUUGAGCAGCGACCCUACAUCUGAGUCGUCAGAGCAGGAUGGAUAAUCAUGCAAAAAUUCCUUGCAAGGGCUCAAAUCCAUAUACAAAUCCCACCCGAGCUCGCAUGGAUGGAAAUUCAUCUUCAAAUCGUUCACUAAGUCAAACUAGAAGAUGGCAUAAAAAGACUCACCAGCGGCGGUCAAUCCUGGGUGACGGCGGCCCGAUGGGGUGACGGCGACUUAGCAGAGGUCUAUUCGGGGCACCGUGGUUCGACGAAUCCGGGUGGACAGGGAAGCGACACGGUGGAGCGGGGUCUGGUGCAGCCCGGCGACGUGAUUCUGUCGGCAGAUAUUGGACGAAAUCGAAGCCGACAUGCGUUCAACAACGAUGCCGGCUGGCUACGGGAUGGAGAUGGGGAACAAGCGCGGGCUGAAAUGUCCCUUCCGCCAACCACUUCCUCGAGAUACAGGACAAGGGGGAGGGGUGUUUUCGCGGGUGGGCAAUUUACCGCGCCCCUUAAAAAAUUAAAAGGCCGGACACAUUAAUUAGAUGAAUGGAUUGGGACCUCACAAAAGAAAAAACAUGUAAUUAGUUGGUAGUUGAUAGCAAUAAAAUCAGUUGUUAUAUGUACGACCGGCCUCUCCACACAUCGAAACACAUGCUUGUGCUUCAGCACCAUGAGUUCAUCAGGCAUUUGCAAGCACCUCAAACAUGUUUACAAGCUCAUCGUAGACAACUUCCUAACCAUGAUGACCAUACCAAUGGCCGCAGCCGCUGUGGUUGUGGCGGGAAGUCUCGAGCCAGAUAAGAUCGUGAGCCGGCUCCGAGCCCUUACGCUUACGCCGGCGCACCUCUUCUUGUUCGUCUUCCUCCCCGCGGUCAUCGUCGUGUAUCUACUAUCGCGGCCACGGAAGGUGUACCUCGUCGACUACGCCUGCUUCCAUGGCACUCACCACUACCGCGUCCCAUUUGCCUCCUUCGUGGAGCACGCGCGCGAAACACCCACCUUCAACGAUGCGAGCAUCCGCUUCAUGUCGCGGCUUCUCCAGAGCUCGGGCCUCGGGGAGGAGACGUGCGGGCCCUCGCCGGCCCGCUACAUCCCACCGCACAGGCAUUGCACACUGGACGCCGCCCGCGAGGAGGCCGAGCUCGUCGUCUUCUCCGCCAUCGACCAACUCUUCUCCAAGACGAAGGUCUCUCUUGACACCAUCCACGUACUCGUCGUCAACUGCAGCGCCUUCAGCCCCACGCCGUCAUUCGUCGACAUGGUCGUUAACAAGUACAAGCUGCGAGACGACAUCCGCGGCGUGCACCUGUCCGGGAUGGGGUGCGGCGCCGGGCUGAUAUCGGUGGAGCUUGCGAGGAGCCUCCUGCGGGUGGCGCCCCGAGGCGCACGAGCGUUGGUCGUGUCCACGGAGACCCUGUCGCCCCUCCUCUACCUCGGGAACGAGCGGCCCAUGCUGCUGCCGUAUUGCUUGUUCCGCAUGGGCGGAGCGGCGGCGCUGAUGUCCACGUCCGCCGCCGAUGCCCGAUUCCGGCUCACGACCGCCGUGCGUACGACCACCGCUGCCGAUGACAAGUCAUACCGGUCCAUAUAUCAGGAGGAGGACGGCAAGGGGAACAAGGGCGCCGGCCUCUCCAUGGACCUGAUAGCCGUCGCCGGCCGCGCCCUGAAAGCCAACAUCACCGCCAUGGCACCCAUCGUCCUCCCAAUCUCCGAGCAGCUUCUGUUUGCGAUGUCUUUCAUGGCACAAAAAAUUUCUAGCGGGCGUGUGAAGUCGUUGUACGUCCCCAACUUCCUGACGGCCUUCGAGCAUUUCUGCAUACACGCCGGCGGGUCUGCGGUUGUCGACGAGGUCCAGCGCAGCCUCGGCCUGUCGGACGAGCACGUCGAGCCGUCGCGGAUGACGCUGCACCGCUUCGGGAACGUGUCCAGCAGCUCGGUUUGGUAUGAGCUAGCAUAUGUCGAGGCCAAGGGCCGUAUGCGUAAGGGUGAUCGAGUAUGGAUGAUCGGGUUUGGCUCUGGCUUCAAAUGCAACAGCGCGGUGUGGGAGUGCAUCGUCCCGGCCCCCAAUAGCGAUGGACCAUGGGCUGGUUGCAUCCACCGCUAUCCAGUGCAGAUUAAGUCCCCAAAAGCAAGGCCGCGGCAAUGAGUAGUGGAGACACUGGUAAAUUGGAUAUGUGUGUAUGAUUGAAUUCAUGUUUCAACAAACUCAUCCAAAAAUUUGAACUGAUAGAGACAGACGGAUAAUAUAUUUUAACAUGUGUGUGUGUUGUAAAAAACGGUGACUUGUCUGUGUUGUCAUUUUUGUUUCAUUUUGAGGUUUUACAUAUAAAGUUGAGUGAAUGCCUUUCUCCAAAAGGUAGUGAAUACACUUGAAACAGGCACUCAAAAGGCAAAACUAUCGUUUGCUUAUACUUCCUACGUCCGAAAAUUCUUGUCUUAAAUUUGUCUAAAAACGAAUGUAUCUAAAUACUAAACCGUAGCUAGAUACAUUCAUAUUUAGAUAAAUGUAAGACAAGAAUUUUGAGACAGAUGGAGUAAUAAAGUAAAUUUACUAUUUGAAGAAAAGGAGAAGUCUAUAUUUAAUCUGUCAACUAAUCAAGGUGUGCGGUUUCAUUCUCCAACUUAAAAAACAUGCAUGUUCUUUUUGUGGGACAGAAAAACAUGUUGUACCUUAAAUGUUUUAAACCGAACAAGUUUGGUCCUCCGACUCGUUCAAAACAUUUUACGGUACGCAGAGUGGUUGUUAUGGUAAAAGAAUUCUCAUGGAUCACUCCUUUAUCGAGAUUACGCGCCUAAAUUUUCUAAAACAUUCUUAAUAAGUCAUGCAUGUAGCCCGUGAUAUAAUAGCGAAUGAACUUGAGCAUUUCCAUUCAAAUAAAAAUAUGGUCAUUUUUCUUUGUUUCUUAAUUUUCAAGCCCGGAAUAUCAGUAUUCUUUUAGGGAAUUUUCGCAUACAGCCCAUUCAUGAAUUCCUUUCAAUCAGAUGAUAAGGAUGUGCGCCCGUUCCACACAGUAUGGCCGACAAGUAAUACGACGUACUAUGAUCGGAGGAAAUUUUGAAGGAGCACAAUGCAUAGCAUUAACAUGCACUACAUUCGCGAGCUCCUUUCAACUACUCCCUCCGUUCUUAAAUAAUUAUAGUACCCAACUACAAUUAUUUAAGAAUAGAAGGAGUAAUUCUGUAAUAGCUUAGCUCGGACAAAGUGGUGGAACCAUCAAACAUUCUAUAAAAAAAAAAAAAAAUUUACUUUUGAAAAAGGAGGUUAAACCUCCGGCCUCUGCAUCAAUCGAUGCAUGCAGCCAUCUUUAUUAAUUAUUUCACAAAGGUCUAACAAGAGUAUACAUCAAUCCAUCCAAAGCCACCACUCACACCUACAAACUCGAUAAUGUGGAAUGCUCUCACUCCACAUAUUUAAGACCGGUAUUGUUUUCAAACCAUCCACAUAACGUAUCGGGAACAACAGCCGGUGCAGCACACCUAAAACGCACACCUCACGCACACGUUUUACCAGCCGCCAUCAUCAUCGAACCACUGACCCAUCUUCAGGAAAGAGAUCCGCAUCAUCCUUGCCAGUCCAAGCAUCCGUCGAGCCACCACGGCGCCCAACGACGCCACCACCCUGAGCUCAUCCGUCCAGAUGAGAAGACUCCGGGAGAUCUGUCGUGCGUAGCACCUGCCAACCAGGCAUGACUCAGCGUAGCACCUGUCGGCCAGGCAUGACUUGACAGCUCCACCAAAAUUCCAUGCAAGACGAAGCCGCUCCACCUCCUACCUCAGUCUGUCAGCGCUGCUCCACAAACGAUGCUCCCAAGAGAGAAACGGCACCACAGUACCGCCAUCGUCCGAUCUGGAAGACCAGAUCCUAGGGUUUCCCCCGAAGCAGUGCCCACCACCAGUAACCGUUCAGGACCCAUACAGUGCCCACCACCACUCAGCCCUUAGGGUUUUCACCCGAGAGGCAAGGAAGUGGAGCAGAGGAGCAGAUGUAUACCGACGUCUCUAAAAAGAAUAACGGCGCCCUUGAGCGUCGUCGUCGGCGCGGUCGGCCUGGGCCAACCAAGGGGUUUCCCUCAAUCCGAAUCUCCUCCAUCGGCUUCACCCGCAGGUAAGGCCCCGGCAACCACGCCGGCACCGCCAAGCAUCCGCAGGAGAGAGGCCCACAGAAUCAGGACCUAGGGCGCAGGUGGCGGUGCGGGCAGCGACCGACGAAGGGGAACAAUACACCUCCACAACGACGCUUUCAAGAAAGAUAGCGGCACCCGCGGGCGUCGCCGUCGCGGCUCCGAUGAAGAUCGGAGCAAGGAUUUCUCCCGGAGCUGCGCUGGUUAUCCACCGCCACCGACCGCUGAGCAUGGCCGCCACGCACCAUCACAACCCCCAGCCAGGGUCACGGCACCGCGCGCCCUGGACACUGCUCGUGCCCAGCCGACCAGCGCAGCCGCGCCCGGCCGCCGCUCCCUGCCACCAUGGGCGCGUGCCCCCCAAGAUCCGGCCAUGGAGCCCCGGAUCCGCCCUCCGGCGCCGCCAAUUGGCAAGAUCAGAUCCCGCAACCGCCGACGCGGGGUGUCGCCGCCAGAGCCGGCCAUCCCCGGGGCGCACGCGGCUUCGCCGGCGUCCCCUCCGGCAGCAGCGAAGCGGGAGGGUGGGGCGGAGAGGGGGGCCGGUGGCGGCGCAGGAGGUCGCCCCCGAGUCGCCAGAGGAGACGACGCGGGGGGUUCUGCACUACAGUUAUCAAACAUUCUACAAUAGAAGAUGCUUAGAAAAGCAAAUUGGUUUUACUUAAACACCAAUGUUUAAUUAUUUGUAGAGGGUAUACACAUAAUUAGACACUCCUUCUACAGAGAUAAGCACUGGUGUAUGAGAAAAAAUCAUUUAUUUUACUCCCUCAGUCCUAAAAUAAGUGUCUUAAGCUUAGUAUAACUUUAUACUAGAGCUAGUAUAAAGUUGAGACGGUUAUUUUCGGACAGAGGGAGUACUAAACACCUUCCCUGAACACCUUGCAUUGUACAAUGCUUUAAUAUGUUUGGUUUUUGCCGUGUAGUGUACUGUAUCUUUUAGAGGAUAGUUGGAGCUCCGUGGCACAAGAGCAGUUAUAUCUUCUCAAAGGGCUCUUUCGUAUUUUCGUUCUAAUCAUACUGGCAUCAUGAUAAUCUGAACGAGUGCUCGGUCCAAUGCCAUGCAUGUGAAAAACAUGGUAUACCAUUGAAAAUCAUAUGCUCGGUAGUCGUGUGCAAACAUUUUGUAGCACAGUUUCUCAUAGUUGGGAAGAUAACCGGCAUGCAACUAUUGAGAAUUUAUUCGGUGACGUUAAUUACGUAUUUCUUCGAUUCCAUGAAGCCGCACUUAGGUUUCUUUCUGAAUGCAACAAAAAGCAACUCUAGCAGACCAUGCAUCCCGUCGGCCUGCAAAAUCAUUUUUGCGGGCUGGCAUAGAUGCAGACCCCCCAAACGGAUCCGUAAAAAAGCAUAUUCNNNNNNNNNNNNNNNNNNNNNNNNNNNNNNNNNNNNNNNNNNNNNNNNNNNNNNNNNNNNNNNNNNNNNNNNNNNNNNNNNNNNNNNNNNNNNNNNNNNNNNNNNNNNNNNNNNNNNNNNNNNNNNNNNNNNNNNNNNNNNNNNNNNNNNNNNNNNNNNNNNNNNNNNNNNNNNNNNNNNNNNNNNNNNNNNNNNNNNGAAUAUGCUUUUUUACGGGUCGGCUUCUGCGGGUUCUGUUCGGGCUCCACCGCGACGAUCCGUAAACAGAAAAACUGCAAAUCUCGCAUCUGACAUAGGGUUUGGCAAACAAGUUCAAAUUUAAACGAAAUAAACAGUUUGCGAGCAAAUAAAAGCGAAGUUCAUUACGUAAAAGAGGGCAUGCAAAGGUUUGCGCCCAUGUCCGGCAUCAUCUUGGGGGGUCGAUCUUCACUCCGCGCCAUGAAGUUCAUAUUGAAGUUCAUCGGCGCCACCGAAUCCACCUCCGUCGCUUGUUCCAACUUCCGCACCGAAAUCAUCCACAUUGGCACCAUAUGGAGCAGAGAAAACAUCACCGGAACUGGAACACGGACCGGUCAAGGCGACCAUUCUCCUCUUCAAGAUCUCUCUCCUUGCCAUAUCAUGCCAUGUUUUGGUGAGGUCGUCCAUGUCAUUGGGUUCAUUGACAUGAUCUUGUUCUCUUCGGCGAGCAACAAUGACAUCGAUUUGGUUUCAGAGGCGCGUGCUUUUCUCUCCUCAAUGGCAUCUUUGCGGAGCCCCUCUUUCUUGGGGUCUUCCAUGAACUCGGUUGUUGCAUUGUUCGAACCACCACUAUAGCGAACGAUAACAAGUCACGAGCUAUCAAGACUAAUGGCGAAAAAUGAAAAGGAAUCGCCAAGACCGAAGAGGCAUACCUUCCGGCCAUUUCGUCGAACACCUCAGUCGCGGGGGGAGCGGCAUCGUUCAACGGCAUCGUCGGAGCACCUCCUUGCUGGGGGGGGUGAAGUCAAAGGUUGAAUAAGGUGGCUUCCUUGAAGCCGGAACCUUCCUCCACUUUACGCCCGCGGCCUUGCCGGCCUUCUGCGUUGCCGGCCGGGAUCGCACUGCGGCGUUGGCGCCCGGAGCGCGGGCCGUCGCGGCGAGGGCAGCCGGAUUCCCGCCCUGCAAGACCACGGUGCCCUGCCUCUUUCAGGAAGGCGUGGCGUGUGCUUGGGCGACGGCGGUGGGGGCAACAUGGCCAACAACGAGAUCCGCCCGAGGAGAAGGAGCAUGCGCGACCUCGACGGUGACGGGGGAUAGCAUGGGGUCCUUCAUGGCGGCGAGGAACGGACGGCGGGGAGGAGGAACUGGAGCUUGCGGAGGGGGGCAAUGAUGGCGGAGGGUGCGGGGAGCGGGAAAAGGGCUCGCGGAAAUGUCCCUCCCGCCAAGUCUCGCGCCGGAUAGGGGUUCAGCUCGGGUCGGCCUCCCAGCCCGUGAAGAUCAAGGUUGGAGGAGAAGAUUUGCCGCGCCCCGCAAAAAAAAUUGCGGGCCGGCGCGGGAUGCGGGGUCUGUUCGUGCGGAUUUUCCGGCCCCGACCCGCAAUUUGACGGUUAUUUUGCAGACCGGGGCGGGAUGCGGGGUCUGCUAGAGUUGCUCUAAGGAGGGGUCUAUGUUGGCCAAUGGCCAGGGGACUGAAACUUGUUAUUUUCUUCUCGGACUAAAACCAAUCUAUACCUUUUUCUAACACAAUAUGGACACAAGCAUUCAUAUACACGUGUAUACACUCAUCCCUAUGAACGCACAUACGUACAUGUUAUCCCUAUAAACACCUCCAAGAGACUGAACCGGUAUAUCAUCUUGAGAUUUAUGAAGUCACCGUAGGCGCUUCAUCGUCGACGAAAACGUCUUCUCCCACUGAAUGUGUAUCGCCGGAAAUCAUGAAAUAAAUCCAGGAAUAAUGCAAGCAUCAAUACUUAAACCCUGAUAGGAUGGAAUACCACUAGCCCUCUAACCAGUCAACCACAGGUUGGUUUGCAAAACCAAUCUAUACCUAUUCAUGAAAUAAAUAGGUAUUUUUAGUCCAUCGUGCUAUUUUGUAGAAAACCCUCUGAUGUUUCUAACAUUAAACCCGCAAUACAUAUCAAAUAUUUUUUUAAAUACUCAUAUCUUCUAAACCGUAACCCCAAAUUUAACAUGGUAUAUAUGAAAAUUGAUUAGAAAAUUAUAUAAAAUCUGAUUAUGACGUUAUUUUGCCUUUUAACCAUUUAAAAAAUACUAUCAAGGGUGCAAUCGUAAUCAAUAAUGCAUUAUCCGUCUUUCUUUCAUACCGGUACUGAUUCGGAUUGGGGAUCAACACCUCAGCAAAAUCAUGAUUGCAGACGAAAUUGAAGAUAAAUUUGAUAGAAACACCCAAUAAAUAAGGACAUGCAUGACAACAAAUAAAAGGACCCAAUAAAGAUGAGAUGUCCACUAUAAAAUAAAUAAAAGGGAAAAUGUAGAGGAGAUUUGAUAAAGAUGAGAUGUUGCGCUAUUUCUCCUAUAUGUAAGAAGAAAAAAGAGAGGGCAUGCAUGAAAAAAAAGUAAAAAUGAGGCAUGCAUGACAAAAAAAUUAAAUAAAAGACAUGAUUGAUAAGAUAUAAAUAGUGAUGAAAGAGGGACCAAUACAUAUGACAUGUAUGACAAGAAAUAGGGACUAAAUAGGAGCGCAAGUACCUGCGUCCACAGACCAUACAAAAUUGUUCUUAUUUAGACAAAAAUAUCUCUCAUUAUAAUUAGAAAAUCAUGUAUACUUUUAACUACUCUUCAUGUAUUUAAGAAAUAUGCAUGUGAAAAUAAGUGUUCAAGAGUUACAACAAAAAUAUUUGCAUAUGCAUAUUAAAUAUAUGUGUAGUUUUCAAAACAGAUGAAAUCAGAGGUGUAGACCAUAUCAAAUGUAGCAUUCUAUUGUGAUAGUUGGGCUCGAGGACAAAAAAUUACGACACUAAUAUCUUCUUUUAGACAGGUUGUAAACAACAAGCCAAGAGACUCUCUAGCAAAGGGGGGAUAAAUUAUCAAAAAGAAGAUGUUGACGAACCAAACUAGGUGAGCAUAGAGGAGGCAUGAGGAGUUCUAGACUGAAGCGAUGAUGAGCACGGGACGGCGGCUCGAGGAUAAGCUUGUGGUCAUGGAUUGAAGCCAGGAGCUGGAAUGAUGUUGAACAUGCCCUAAGUUAGUGAUGCUUAAACUGGAAACCGUCCUUGAUGCAUACAUGUCUCUGUAGUGUGCUAACGUGCCAUCGUCUGUUGUUGUCGUUUUCUUUACCGGCCUGUAACAAUACCUCAUUUCGCAGAUGACAUGAAUAAAUGCAUGAUCCCUUAAAUGUUUCUUUGUACGUAUUAAAUCUACAUGCAAGCCAUGUUGAAAUAGAAGACCCGUGGAAUCUUGAACUGCGAUUUUAGGCUAAGACCAUCUUUGUCUGGGCUAUAGCUACAAAUUCUCAUAUUAUAGAUCAUUUUUAUUAAGAGUGUGUAGUAUUCUUUUCUUCCGUUGCAACGCAUGUGUCCUUUUGCUAGUACAGACUAAUGCCCCGCUUCAAAUCGUUGUGUAUUCAUACAUCCGUAUAUAAUUUACAGGUGCAAAUUACCGGCUACACGCGAUUUUCAGCUAGCAAAGAAAACGAUGGAGGGAGGCGUGUAUAUUUUACAAGGGUUUAGCGUUGAGAACCGAAAAUCCAAUCAGCGCCUAAAGCAAAGUGAAAUGGUUACUAGCCAAGACACGCCGAUCUUGAUGCAGUCGACGGCGCCUUCUGCCCAGUGCAGCCAUCCAUGGAGGAUUAUGAUCGCCUUCUGCCCAGUGCAGCCAUCCAUGGAGGAUAUGAUCGUGAGCAGGUAGAUGCAAGAUUAUCGUGAAUUAUGUAACCAAGAUAAGGGAUUUGAAAGUUGGUAUACCCACAUUUUCUUUAGAUAGCUUACCACCUAUGCCAAGUGGUACGAUACCCACACAUUUAGUACUUGAAAGCAACGUUCCAGAAGCAAGAUGCAGAUCAAAAUAUGGAAGCAUUUAUUGUUGGUUAGAAUGAACCAGCACAUGUAGAUUGUUACUAUCAGUGUCAAAAAAGUCUUAGAUUUUAAUACAGAGGGAAUGGUAUUUUAUUUCAGAACAAGAUUGCUAUUUCUCGAAUGUAGUUUUGACCUGCAAACAUCCAUCAUCCGAUACUGAAUAACCCUUCCAGAAACUUUCCUUGUACGUAGCAGUUCACAGCAAGCCUAGCCGCAGAAUAAAAUUUCAGAGAUCGCAUCAGAAAAAAAGAAGGAACUACUUUAAAUCACAUGACGCUACAGCACUCUUAUUACACUGCUUCGAAGCACAGUAUACCUCAUUCGCAGAAUACAAGUCAUGGAUGAAACUACAUACACAUUACAUUACGGUGACAGUUGACACCACCAACCUUGGGGGCAUUAUUUACUUACUAUAGUCCUAUUUCUGCAUAGAUCCAUGCUACUUACGAUAUAUAUAGGACCAUCGUUCGUUUCUUGAUGUACGAGGGGGUUUUCUCGAUGUAAGAGGGGGUGGUUUUCGGCUUAGACAAGCUGGACUACUGCAGCGAUUCUCAGGGCUCCACCCUGGAGAAGAUCAGCAAGCUCAUCGAACAGUAUAGCCGUGCGCCAGCCCCACCCUUUUGGAGCCUUGGGCAGAAGGGUGCCAGCCUGCUUCAGGCUUCCAAAUAUCAUCACCUCUCUCUUCGAUGGACAGAUGAGCUAAUGCCGAAAGACAGGUAGCAAAUUAUACCAUGUACAGUAUCAGUGGAUAAUUUUGGAGGAAAGAAAAACUGAGGUAGAUACCUGAUACCGAGCAGUGACCUUUUCCCGGGGGUCUAUGUACAUGUGGGCCUGAGAAAGAAGUGCAUCAGUGACAUUGUUAUCUUGCGAUAAAUGAAUCAACCCAUUAAGUUACUCACCUUCCUCAAGGGGUCUAACAAUUCAGCUUUGCGUCUGUGGAGAAAAAGCCCUGCAUUGUCGAUUUGUAAAAUGCUAACAUGUCUUUCGGCAAACAACAAAGAUGACUGGCAAACAUUACAGAAUCAGAUAAAAAAUAUGUUACCAAGGGUGCGCCGCCCAUGAGGAUCCUCAUCAUUGAAUGCCUGGACACUUACCUGCAAACGACCAUGUUUAUUACCAAACUUGAUUUAGGCUGUCAGAAGCAUGGAUAGGUAGAAGACCAGAAAGUAAUAAACCUUCCAUAGCGAGCCCGCAUAAAAUACUUCAGCUGAGUGUUUCACUUGACCAUCUGCAAGCCUAUGCACAUCUUCAAACUCAACCCUGUGUUUACGUAUAGACUUGUCAGAGCUUAAUAUAAACAUGAUAUUAGUGUGUGCACCAAGUUCUAAGUUAAUGAGAUCUGUAGGGAAUAAAGAAAUUGACAUCAGAAGUUUUGAGCAUGUCUUGGUUGGCUUAGACCAAUUAGAAAUUAGAAGCUGUUUCUUCUGCCUGCCUUUGGUGAAGGCAUUAAUAUCCAACAGGAAUACUCAGAUUGCUUGAAGCAGAUGAUAGUCGGGUUAUUUUUUUCAGGAACUAUGUCCAAAGAGGUGGUGUGUUUUGUAAGAGCAAAGGCAGGAUAAAUAGGGAUCUUACCCAAAGCGGAAAGGAGGGAAAUGACUAAGUGGUGUUCUCAUGUCCAACGAUAUAGCUGUGUUAUCUGCACUUUCCCAACUAAGUUCAUGCUCUUUUGACUCUUGCAUCUGGGGAGAAGAACCACCUGGUGUAGAAACAGUAGCAGCACCAGAAUAUCUAGUUUGCAUGCCUGCCUCAAAAAUACUUUCUGCCUGAUGAUGAGAGGCAUUGCUUUCUUGGCUAAGAUUAACCAAUGCAGUCAGACCAUCUCCUGGAAUAUCUCCAUUGUGGUCAACUCUAGGUUCUGAUUCAUCAUUGGCAAAUGAUUGCUGGCCAUUCCUUGAACCAAGCCCAUAGGGAACACGAGAGAAGACAUAACGCGUUGGAGCCCAAGCAGCACCAGGCACAUUUGAGUUUCCUCUCCCAAUGCCAGCAAGUCCAUCAACUGCUCCUCUUACGUUAACACGCACAGGACUAAACAUACCAUUCGCAUCGCCUUGGGCAUCUGCAAGGUAGAUACUACCUGCAGUUCCUGAAGCACUUGUCCUAUCAUGCUCCUGCCUGUAGUGGCUGUGUGUACUCACAUAUGCUUGUUUACAAGCACAAGAAUUACUUGUAAGGCAACAGUUUCUGCAUGUAUCAGCAACUAUUGCUUGCACUCUGUGGCACAGGAGCAUCUGCAUUAACAGAUCAGCAAACUUUCAGAGAUGGUCUUAGAGAGAACAAAGUAUUGAGAGAGAGAGAGAGAGANNNNNNNNNNNNNNNNNNNNNNNNNNNNNNNNNNNNNNNNNNNNNNNNNNNNNNNNNNNNNNNNNNNNNNNNNNNNNNNNNNNNNNNNNNNNNNNNNNNNNNNNNNNNNNNNNNNNNNNNNNNNNNNNNNNNNNNNNNNNNNNNNNNNNNNNNNNNNNNNNNNNNNNNNNNNNNNNNNNNNNNNNNNNNNNNGGGGGGGGGGGGUAGAGUAAAACCUGGAGCCAAAGACCAUCGUUUACAGCUUUGCAAGGAAAUUCAAACUCUUCAAGUUGCUUUCGAACACUUAACAGUGCAUCAAAUGACAUAUUGCAAUAGAGAAGAGAACCCCUUUCAAAUAUAUUCAUGAAAGUAUUAUAUUCAUCAGCAGACAAAGAAGAACUUCCCCUACUGCACCUAACCUGCCGUCGACCAACAACCCUACCACCCCAAGGAGGUGCAGUGGGUCUUCCCCACUCACAUGGUACUAAUCCAUUACUUGAAGAAGUUCUUGAAAAGUAAUUUUUUGUUUGCUCCCUAGAAAGCCACAUAUUUUCGUUAAAUUGAUAAGAGGGGCUUUCUGCAGAUGGUCCUCCUGUAGAAAUAUCAUUCUCCAUCCUCUUGGAAGCUUCAGCAUUCUGAAUGAUCAGAACAAACAAUACAAUCUUAGUGUACUUAUCAAGUUUCUGGUAAAGUGAUUUGUUUAAUGAAAGAAGAGAAGUUCAUAGCAUGUUGAAAACAAGCCAACAUGAUCUUCUUACUGGUGGAAUGGAGUACGGUGUGCUAUCCUGCGGAUUUACAACAUUUGGAACAUCAAUAAUGUUAUUGGCAGCUUUACUCGCCAUGUUAUCAUGCAACUUCAACUUCUGCAGUUCAGAUUCCAUUAGCUGCUCCUCACCAGUUUCAUUCAUCGGAGUCUUUCCCUUUCCCAUGGAACAAUCAACAGUUGAUGCGCUUGUCAUAAGGUCCAAAUUUUCAUUUCCACUAACUUCUACAUCAGAAACAGUCACCUUUGCCAGUAGAGCAAAUAAUGCUAGUUCAAACCUUCAAGUUGCAAGAACGGUUGUCAUAAUUGGGCUUCAAAUUAUAAUGCCACCAGUAGACAACACAUACAUACCGUUUCUCCUCAUUAGGUACCCACAGUUCGUCCGAUGUAAGGAGAGAAUGUAAAGUUUGUGAAGAAAGUUUUGGAAGCACCUUUCAGCAAAAUGCAAAACAGGUAUCAAACCUCUGCCUAAAAGGGAAUGUAGAUUGAAAUACACCCAAGUACAAAUCAUAUGUGUCAUAAUUCAGCAUUCAUGUUGCAGUGACAGCAAAGUAAAAGCUAAAUAAAGUCAAACAGUUCAACAUCCAAAAGUUUUCUAUGCAUUUCUGGUACAGCAGAGUUGCAUUUGUUCUGCAACCUGUAUUCUUUCUUUAACGAAGGAAAAUGGUAAUGAAAGCCAUAAAAUGUAGGAGGUCAGAUUGAACAUUCACUUCCAAACUAGUGAGCUAGGCUCAAUAUCUGUUCAGUAGAACAAUAUUAUAGUCUUAACAUUAAAAUAAUUAACACCAAGAAUACACAAGCAAAACAUUGCUGAAAUUGUAACCAUGGAUAAUAAGUUCCAAAUUGUGAAGUAGUUGAGCUUUAUGGAGAAUAUCUAACACAGAUCAAAUAACACUAUACUAAAAUUAAAGGUACAAUAAACAGCUCCCUCUGUUCAGAAAUGCAGGUUGACCUAGGGUUCAUGCAGUCAAAUUUUAAUACCUUUGACCACUAAUUUGUGCGAAAAUACAUAAAUUGACAAUAUGGAGGAAAAAACAUUGGGUUUGUCUUGAGAAAUAAUAAUUAUUUUAUAAUACUUUAUUCAUAAAGAGCAUACUGAAAGCCGGCAGUAACCAAGUUUCCUACUUGAGAACAAUAUUUGGCAAGUGUAGCUUUUUAGCCAGCAAGAUCCCCAUGAGUGCUCCUUAGUCCUUACCUCUCGUAGUUCCAGUGUGGCACUUUGACAAAGAUAACCCCAGCACGCAUUUCUGACACGCUCUCCAUGACUACCAUAGUCUUGGCUUUCGGCAAACAACUAAAAACAAUAAGAUAAAAAUAAGGCCAUAAAUAAAGAAGGGAAAAGUAAUGUCACUGACAAAGAACACCAUGUGUAUAUAUCAAUAUAUGUCGCAAAGAUAAGCUGAUGGACUAACCUGAUAUUGUAAAAAGUUUGAUGUCCAAAGCUCAGAAAUAAUAAAAUCUGUACAGAUUGUACACAAGCCCUGCAAUAGUCCAUUUGUAAGUACAAGACAAUAGCAAACAGUUGCGGACAGUAAGAACUCACGCAAAUAGAAGAAACCUGAAGAUCCAGAAAUGAUGCAGCAGCUAGUACACGAAACGCGUUGUUAUCAUUGAGCUUGGGGGGUUGCCCAUAAAGAUAUGCCAACGCAAUUGCAAUUGCCUCUGAAUCAAUAUUAGAAUCGUCUAUAUGCAAGACCACUGUAGGUGCUCCAGCUUCUCUCCAAGGACCAUGCAACAUAUUCCUGGCAGUUUUUUUUCAAAGAGCCUGCUUGUCAGUUUCAGAAACUGGCACGGUAUUAAUCUGGACAAAAUUGUCUGUUAGUCGUAAGAAAAGAUAAUAAUCUAGCGAAAUGAAGAGGUUUGGUUGCAUAAGAAGGUUCCUUUCUAUGUUGAAGGUUUAUAUAGGAGAUAUAGGCACUGAAAGGUACUUUGCAUUGAGGAGUUCUAUCAGACUCUGUUGAUUACUUCCGCGGGUGCAAAAUGCAAGGGGCCCACACAUUCCCUGGUUUAAGUUUGACCAACCAUUGGAAUAAUGAAAUGUGAUGUGACAUAGAAGGGAUAUCACUCGAAAAUGCUUUUGAUUAUGAAUCCAAAGUAGUGUUUGUGUCACAUGACCAAUAUUUGAUUUUAUUUGCAUAAUCGUUGGUCAAAUGUCAACCUUAGGAUGUGUGGGUGUCUUAAUUUUGCGACAGAACACAAACUAGCCAUCAGGCUUCCAUUUCGCUUCGUAUAUGAUAAAGGUUUAUGAAAGAGGGCUGACUUGAUUCAUUUGGAAACGGAAAGGUGAGAUCUAACUUCCUUUUUUUGGGAAAAAACAGAAGAAAAAAAAACUGCCCUGUCUGGCUCCAAUCAGCAACUGAAUUGGUCCGUACACAUGCAAUUCCGCUCAAUUCAUUCUAUUAAACAUUCUCGACACGGGUCAUAGCACAAGAGAUUUCCACUUCAAAGGGAAUCGAAUCGUCCCCGCCGCGCGGCCCAACAGAAAUGAAUUUCUACUCUACGAAACAAUCCUAUAUACUCAAUCUCGGCAGCAGCGCAAACUACGACGGGAACCGGGCCCGGGGUCCACGCAUCCGCAUUGGAGGAGGAGGCUGACCUGAAGUAGGUGCUGCGGGAGAUGAUGAGGCGGUGGAGGCGGUAGGUGGCGCCCAUGGCCUCGACGACGACAUCGGAGAAGGCGCCGGAGCCGAAUCCCUCGGCCUGCACGUGGUCGCAGAGCGCCGCGAGGUUGCAGUCCACGGGGCGGAGCUCCGCCGCCGCGACCGCCAGCUCGUACGGCCGCGGCGCCCCCGCCGGCGCGGCCAGGGGCGCCGCNCGGCUGCUGCGGCGCCGCCGACAUGGCCCCCGGGGGCCUAGGGUUUUAGUUGGAGGAGUGUCGGUGCGAUGGGGGCGGGGAAUGGGGGUGGGGGACAGAAGACGGGGUCGAUCGGGAGGAGGAAGAAAGCGUGCUCGAGGGUAACUGUUUUUUUUUCCUUUAUUACUGUCGAUGUAGACUUUGUGUUUUCAUUUCGAAUAUGCUAUUUAUGCAGCGGCAAAAUAAAAUGUUUUUAGUACUAUAUAAUACUCUCUCUAUAAACAAAUAUACGCUUUUAUAUUUGUUUACAGAGGAAGUACAAGCGUAGACGCUCCUACAUAUGUAUAUUAGGACUUGAAAGAAUGAUGGACAGGACUACACAGCGGCGCCUCGCCUAUGUCUUCCGGUACAGCGACUCUACCACGUCUGCUAAUUGCCACGAAAAGUAGCCACAUGCAUGAACAUAAAUUUUAUGCAUGCAUUCAUUGUAAGAAAUACAAAAAGAACAACAUGCAAUGGCAGGCUGGCAGCGCAAGAAAAAAGCAUACAACGCAACAAUUCUCUUUGAUGUUUGAAAUUUAAAAAGUUUUAUCUAUAAAACCGUUAAGUCAAUCGACGAUCUGUUUUCACCAUUGACUUUCUCGCGACGAGUUCUUCAAAACUAGAUCCCAUGUCGACAUGUUCUGACAAUUAUUUUUUUCGGUUCAUACUUGCCACAUUUUUUGACCUCACUUGUCAUAUUAUUAACCGCUUGCUUGUGUGAGAAAAAUAACUUGAUUGCCACUUUUUAAUAUUGUUUCGUAUAAAGCCUUAUAGCAGUUUCUAUUAUGCAUGAUAUAAAAAAGCAUGUAAUAAGUUGUGUUUGUCAAUUUAAAGAUGCUAACUUGUCGUAUUUACAUACAACUUUGACAGAAAACUAUUUUGUGUGCUUGUUAGUUUAACAAUGCGGAGUUGACAUAUUACAAACGAUGACCAAAAAAGAUUUCUUAUGGUCAUGGUUUUAAAUAUGUUGUAUGUAAAUCCCCGCCGUAAGUCCACCCCGUGCCGGCGGCCGGCGAGAACCUGCAGAUACCCUCGCACCCAUUGCCUACCACCUCGCGCCUCGCGUCCCUCGCAUCCCAUCGCCUCCCACCUCGCACCUUCCGUUCCGCCUCCCCCUCGCCAUAGCAGUGUUCCCCCGCGUCUUCCGAUCUACAUGCGAUAACGAUGGCUACUUCACCUUCCGUUGGUGCUUUUGGCAACUCCCAAGGGAACGAUGACGACCUUGGUGAUUUCUUCGAGAAACUUGACCUCCACGAAGAUGAGUUCGAUGAUGUCGUCGUGGAGGAGGAAGCCCAUGAACUUCUGGAGGAAAUCCGCUGGAUUGCCCUCGCUAGGGUUCAUACCCCCAAGCUGUUCAGCCAAACCGCGUUCUACAAGGAUAUGCGAGCAGCUUGGAACUGCUCGCAGCAGGUCCGGUUCCGUCCCAUCGGACCAAAUCUCUUCGUGGUGCAGGUGUAUUGUUUGGGCGACUGGGAUCGCAUCAUGCAACAAGGGCCUUGGCUCUUCCGCAACAUGGCUGUUAUGAUUGCAUCAUACGACGAAUUUACACGGGCAGAGAACGUUCCAAUGUUCAACAUGCCCAUAUGGCUGCAAAUUCACAAAUUGCCGGAUGGCUAUUGCCGGCAUGAUCUGAUUGUCAAACUACUGCGAUCGGCUGGAGAGGUUCUGGAAACUCGGAUCAAUGGGAAUUCACGAGGUGACUACGUGCGAGUAAGAAUCAACCAUGACAUCAGGAAGCCAUUAACUAAAUUUGUGAGCAUUGUCAAGGACAAGAUGCGCCACAUAUUUGUUGUCCGAUGCGAGAAACUUGCAAGAUUCUGUAGUGCAUGUGGAGUAAUAGGUCACGAGCAUAAGAAAUGUGGUGAUGGGGUUUUUGCAGAGAAGGAUAUAAAAUUUGGUGCCUACCUGUAUGCGGAUCAACCUGGUCGUGCCCGUUCGGAGAGGGUAUAUACACAUGAAAGCAAAAUCUCUCCAACUACUGUUGUGGCAACACAAGCAGCUAUGCCCCCUGGGACAGUUCAUGUACAAAAAAACCCUAGCCCUCCUCCGAUGGACCAAUUCGCCGAUAUGGACCUGGAUAAACUCUCUCGGAAGAGGUUGAUGAAUCCUAAGGCUGUUACCAUGCAAGAUGCUGUUGAGGAUAUUGCCGUAAGGGAUGGGAUCAUGUUGUUGACUGAUAAACCCUCGGACGCCCCUGAUGAAAGUAGUGUUGCUGGGUGUAGUAAACGAGCAAAGGUGGGUACUGACUCAAACUUGGCGGGCUCCGAAGAGGAGUGCCGCCCGUCCCAAUGAGUCACUUGUUCUGGAACUGUCGGGGGGGUGGGGAACCGCCGGACAGUUCGCGAAGUUAGGGCUCUUGUAAAAGCCCAUUCCCCGCGCUUGGUCUUUCUUGCGGAGGCGCGACAGCCAAGUGCAAAGGUUGAAACUCUGAGAUGGAAACUAGGACUAAAAGGUUUCUGCGGUGUCGAUUCUGAUGGCCGUGGCGGAGGUCUUGCGCUAUUAUGGGAUGAAUCACUAACAGUCACAGUACUUGAGUCAUGCAGCAGGUUUAUAGAUGUGGUGGUGCUAAAUCAAGGAGUGGGAACAACGUGGUGAUCUACCUUUGUGUAUGGUGAGCCCAGAGUUGAAAACCGUCAGCGUAUGUGGGAUCAUCUGGUGAGACUGAAAAACACAUCGGCCUUGCCAUGGGUAAUAUGUGGUGACUUUAACGAGGCUAUGUGGCAACACGAACACUUCUCCAACACUAGCAGAGCUGAGAACCAGAUGAUGGCAUUUAGGGAUGCUCUUCAACUCUGUGAAGUGGUGGACCUAGGCUUUAUGGGCGCGCCCUACACUUUCGACAAUGGCCAACUGGGACAGGUAAUGUCCGUGUCCGUCUAGACCGGCCAUGUGCCUGUGAUGACUGACGGGAACUUUUCCCUUAUGCUAGGGUGCAGCACCUUGUCUCCCCUAGAUCAGAUCAUUGCCCUAUAGUGAUGAUCCUAGAUUCAACAGAGGAUCGACGACGCAAGGGUACCCCAAAGUAUGAGAUUAUGUGGGAGCGUGACCACAAACUCCCGGAGCUUAUUUCACAAACACGGGCCAAGGUACGGUCUGGUGGAGAUCUGGGCAAUGUGUCCACCUCUCUAGGAUCGGUCAUGAGUGCCUUACGCCGAUGGAGCAAAGCAAACUUUGGGCAGGUGAAAAAACAGAUCGAGGCACUACGUAAAGAGCUUGAGAACUUGCAACUAGCUAAUGCUGACCGUCUCUUACUACGUAUGAAAAUGCAAAAACUUGAUGAACUCCUAUAUCGAGAAGAGAUGAUGUGGUUGCAACGGAGCAGAAUAUCAUGGUUGAAAGAAGGGGAUCGUAACACAAAAUACUUUCACCGUCAAGCUGUCUGGAGGGCAAGGAGAAACAAUAUUCGUAGACUACAAAAGGAGGAUGGUUCCUGGUGUCAUUCUCCUACAGAGAUGGAACGUAUGGUUGCGUCUUACUUCAAGGAAUUAUACACUAAGGACCCCACCCUAAAUCCGAACCCCGUUCUGGAUACCCUUGGUCAGAAAGUAUCACCUGAAACAAAUGAUCGGUUGUUAGCCCCGUUUACACAUCAGGAAAUUUCAGAUGCUCUCUUCCAGAUUGACCCCUUAAAAGCACCCGGUCCGGACGGUUUCCCGGCAAGGUUUUUCCAAAGGAAUUGGGGAUGUCUAAAAGAGGAUAUAGUGGCUGCAGUGCAUCAGUUUUUUGAGACUGGACAAAUGCCCUUGGGUGUCAAUGAUACUAGUAUUGUUCUUAUUCCAAAAGUCCAACACCCGGCCACCUUGAAAGAACUACGGCCUAUAUCCCUCUGCAACAUAAUCUACAAGGUGGUCUCUAAAUGUCUGGUGAACAGGUUGAGGCCGUGCUCGAAGGAUUUGAUCUCUGAAAACCAAAGUGCUUUCAUCCCAGGGAGAUUGAUUUCGGACAACUCCCUUAUUGCAUUCGAAUGCAUUCACCACAUCCAAACUAAUACUGGGAAUUCGGAGUUCUGUGCCUACAAACUUGAUCUAUCCAAAGCAUAUGACAGAGUGGACUGGGAUUAUUUGGAAGGAGCUCUAUUGAGAUGGGGUUUUGCCCCACGCUGGGUCUCUCUUAAUAUGGUUUGUGUCCAAUCAGUCAAGUUCUCUGUCAAGUUUAAUGGGCGAUUGCUGCAACAAUUCACUCCCACACGCGGUAUUCGUCAAGGUGACCCCCUAUCUCCCUUCUUGUUCCUUUUUGUGGCGGAUUCAUUGUCUUCAUUACUGCAUAAGGCUGUACAACAAGAUGGGCUGGAGGCGCUCCAAAUCUGCCGAAGAGCACCGCCUGUGUCACAUCUCCUUUUUGCGGAUGAUUCAUUGCUUUUCUUCCGAGCAAAUCUCGAGAAUGCAACAAUUGUCAAGGGUGUCUUGAACACUUAUGCCUCAGCGACGGGUCAACUUAUUAACCCUUCAAAGUGUUCCGUCCUUUUUCAUGACAACUGUGCUCCUCAAGUGGUUGAUGAGGUAAAGCUUGUCCUCCAAAUCACACAGCAAGCAUUUGAGCCAAAGUAUCUCGGCCUCCCUGUGCCGAAAGGUCGCAUGCAUAAGGGACGUUUUGAAUCUUUACAAGCUAGGGUAAGCAAAAGUCUAAUUGAAUGGAGUGAAUGGUAUUCCUCGUACUCGGGCAAGGAAGUGCUUAUUAAAGCAGUGGCGCAAGGUAUUCCAGUAUAUGUCAUGAGCAUCUUUAAACUCCCGGUGGCAGUGUGCGAUGAACUAUCAAGAAUAAUGGGACAAUUUUGGUGGGGUGUUGAGAAUGGAAAAAGGAAAAUGGCAUGGGUAGCUUGGGAUCGACUCUCUCUUCCAAAAUCCCGUGGUGGUCUGGGUUUUAGAGAUAUGCGGGCCUAUAAUCAAGCUCUCCUUGCAAAACAAGCAUGGCGGCUCAUCACCACUCCUGAUUCCUUAUGUGCUCGUCUUCUUAAAGCAAAAUACUACCCCAAUGGUAACCUAGUGGACACUGUCUUCCCUGCUAACUCUUCGGCAGUGUGGAAAGGUAUAGAACACGGACUCGCCCUUGUCAAAAAAGGUAUGUUAUGGAGGGUAGGAAACGGUGAACAUAUUCGGGUUUGGAGAGACCCUUGGAUUCCACGAGGGCCACCUUUCACGCCUAUUCUUCCGAAAAGAACAUGUCGGCUCACAAAGGUUAAGGACUUCCUCGAUGUUCAUGGGAAUUGGAAGACUGAACUGCUGCAACAAUUUUUCUGUCCAGUAGAUGUGGCAUCCAUCACAAAGAUCCGUACUUCGGUGUACCAAUUGGAUGAUUUUAUUGCUUGGCCAUGGGACAAAUCUAGAAAUUUUACGGUAAAAUCUGCUUACCACCUAGCUAUGACCACAUGUUGGAACCAGCUGAGUCCUGGUGCAACCUCCUCUGCUCCUACGGGUGACCGAUCUAUGUGGAAGCUAAUUUGGAAAAUCGCAGCUCCCCCAAAGCUGCGACACUUCGCGUGGCAGGUGAUCUCUGGUUCCCUUCCUUCUUCGGCAGAGAUGCACAGGCGCCAUAUGACUACCCAAUCUACAUGCCUCUUAUGUGACCGCGAUGUGGAAUCAUCAUUUCAUGCUCUCCUGGUUUGCCCGCAUGCGGCUACCCUGUGGGACGCAAUGCAGACAAUGUGGCCUUUACCUCCUCGUACGGACAUCAAAUGCACUGGCAAGGAGUGGUUGUUCCACUUCCUACUGGAGGUCCCGGAGUCUAUUCAUAGCAGGAUCAUCAUGGUCUUAUGGAGGAUAUGGUACUUGAGGAAUGAAGUUGUUCAUGGCAAAACGGUACCCCCCCCCCCUUGAUAUAUCCUGUUCUUUCCUGGCUAGCUACUAUAACUCCUACAAGAACAUAUCAUUAAGUGUGGAAGAUACGGUGAAAGGGAAAACCCCAGUGAUGGAACUUCUCCCUCCAACACCUGCUCCCGUAAGAAUGGUGAAGAAGUGGCCGGCUCCAGAUUCUAACAUGGUGGCCUUAUCUACUGAUGGCUCCUUCAACCUCGAGGAUGGAACAACUGGUUCAGGGAUGAUCCUUAGAAAUUGUCAAGGGGAUGUCAUCUUUGCAUCCUACCGGAAACUGUUCCAAUGCAAUGACGCGCUAGAGUCGGAGCUUUAAGCAAUAAAAGAAGGGCUACAACUGGCUUUUAUUCAUGCCUCAUCACUGGUGGUGCUGCAAUCUGAUUCGUCGAUGGCUAUAAACAUGAUAGCUACCGCUGGUUAUGAUAGAUCUCUCUACGGUGUCCUAGUGGUAGAAAUUAAGAAUUUACUUUUGAAUAGGGAGGUUACUUUAUGUAAGAUUAGUCGUGAACAGAACAGAGUUGCACAUUGCUUAGCAAACUUUGGUCGUAGUGGUGAUAGCACCGCAUGUUGGUUGGGUAGACCACCUCCGUGUGUCACUAUGCUGGUUGCUGAGGAUUGUAAGUCGGUUGCAGUUUAAUAAAUCUCCCUAUUUCCCCGCAAAAAAAAACACCACCUUUACAAUCAAAAACAUUAAUUAUAUUCCAACAUGCGUUAAUAUGGUAAAUCCAUUUAAAUAACGUCACACAGGCUGUUGAGAAGAAAGGGUUAGGUUUUGCUUUAAAAAUAGAUAAAAAAAAUUGUGGGUCAAGUUUCUUGAUUCUCACUCGUUUUUAUUGAUUGUUACCAUCAAUUCAAUGGCCUCCGGGCACUAUUAGUAGACAUCGAUUUGGAACAGAACUCGGUGAAGUGGUCUACAAUUAGAAUGAAAACUUAGGAUUUCCUGCUAUAACAGUUGUUUGAUUGAAAAAAGGUGAACACCGGAAAUAAGAGGCGCAAAUAGAUAACGAUCAGUGCCCCGUUAUUUAUCAUUCUCACAACUUGCCAUGAGUCCAACUCCACGUGAAUAGGCAACUAUGUUCUUAGAAUUGCAAGUGGCAAUCCCUCCAUGCAUGCAGAUAGUUCAGCUUCUAGGGCACUUGUGCAAGCACUAUUAGGAAAGGGCUAUAGAUAAUAUAGACACUAAUGGCGCACCAGACAAAUGGUGCGCCACUACUAUAUAGCAGCGGCGCACCAUGUGCAGGUGUGCCAUUAGUGUGAUGGACACUAAUGGCGCACCACACACACGGUGCGCCACUACUAACAAACAUUUUUGUCCAAAAGUACUAAUGGCGCACCGGGGCAGAGUGCGCCAUUACUAGUUUAACUAGUAAUGGCGCACCACUCACUCAGUGCGCCACUACUAUAUUUUUUUUUUGCAAAACUACUAAUAGCGCACCAUCAGCUGGUGCGUCAUUAGUAACCAGGGUUACUAAUGGCGCAUUUGUAGGUGAUGCGCCAUUAGUAAUCUGGGACCAGCUAGAUAUUUUGGACAGCCACCUAUCACACUCACUUUCCCCACUUUCAUUCUCUCCACCUCCUCCUCCAAGCUUGUCUCGGGUGCCUCCUCCUCCUCACCUCAUUUGCAUCAUAGAUUCACCCAGAUUAAGUGGUUAAAUUACCUUUUUUUGAUAGGUAAGUAAGGGGAAAGCUUUUAUGUUGUAGAUCUACUUUUUUCUCCCUCUAACAACGUGCACCUGCACUUUUUAUGGCCUAGCUAGAUCUACGUAUGUUUGUGGUGUUGCAUAUGUUUGUGGUGUUGUAUAUAUGUUUGUGUUUGCAGGUACCGGUAUUUGAAAUGCGAUAGUUGCCAAUAUUUUGCCGGAAUGUUGAUUCAUUUCCGUUUCGGCGAGAAUUUGGCACUAUACAUUCUUUUUUGUCCUAUUUUUAGGCAAAGUCAUGCCAAAAAAAUUUUGUUCUAAAAUAUCGUUUUGCUCUACCCCGCAGGCGACCAUGGUCCGCACGAUGACCGAAGGCAUCGUGAAUAGGUUUUUGAGCUCCGCGAAGGCCGAGAUGCUUCAAAAGAACGAGAUGGAGAUAAGAUGUCCGUGUCGAAGAUGCAAGCUGAAGAGCCUUAUGGACCCGGAUUCCGUAAAGGUGCGGGACCACCUGCUCUUGCGUGGUUUCAUGGAUGGCUAUCGGUGGCAAGGUGAUGAAGAUGGUUAUGAAGUCGUCCAUGGGGGCAGGGCAAGAAAUGAGGAAGGGCAUGAGCAAGACAACCGCGGCGAGGGCGGGCGAGAAGACAAAGAAUCUCCAGGACACAGUCAUCAUGUAGAAGAUGGCGAACAUGAUGAUAAGGAAGAUGCCGGAGCAGACGAAGGGCAUGAUCAUGAAGAUGAAGAUGCCGGAGCAGACGACGAUGGACCAUCGAUGGCCUGGGUGCAGGAACCUCAUAUUCAAGAGCUGCUUCUCAAGCAGACGGAUAACGCAAGAGCUGCCGCCCGAGAGAAAGCCAAGCUGGAUCAACUGGAGAUAGACGCGGUUACUCCAUUGUAUGAAGGAUGCAGGCCCGAGGAUACCCGCCUGAAAGUAACGCUCAUGGCUCUGGAGAUGAAGGUAAAACACAAAAUGACCGACGCAUGCUUCGACGAGAACAUGUCAUUCUGGCACGAACGUCUUCCCAAGGGGAACAAGUGCCCGACCAGUUUCGAGGAGGCGAAGAAAAUUGUGUGUCCUCUGGAUUUACCGCACGUGAAAUACCACGUGUGCAUGAACAAUUGCAUCAUUUAUCGGGACGAGCACGCGGAGUCUACCAUAUGUCCGGUGUGCGGCGUCAGUCGAUACAAGAAGAGGAAGAAAGCUCCUCGAAAAGUGGUGUGGUACUUUCCGACCAAUCCUCGUCUGCAGCAGUAUUUCGCGGACCCUAAGGUAGCAAAGCUCCUGCGUUGGCAGGCGGAUAGGGAGAAGAAAAGCGAGAAGAUGACAGAAAUGAUCCAGAGAUAAAUAAAAAAGACAAGAUGUUGAGUCACCCUAAGGAUGCGAGCCAGUGGCAAGCGUUGAACUUCGAAUACCCAGAAUUUGGGGACGAUCCAAGGAACACCGUGCUGGGCGCGAGCACCGACGGAGUCAAUCUGUUUGGCAGCCAGAGAAGGACACAUAGCACCUAGCUUGUGUUUGUGUGGAUGUACAACCUUCCCCCCUGGUUGUGCAUGAAGAGGAAGUACAUUCACAUGAGUAUGCUAAUUGAAGGGCCGAAACAACCAGGGAACGACAUCAAUCUGUAUCUGGGGCUACUGAAAGAGGAGCUAGACACGCUGUGGAAAACGCCAGCCAAUACGUGGGACGCCGCAGAGAAAGAAUAUUUCCCUAUGAGAGCCGCACUGCUCACGACGGUGCACGACUAUCUCAGUUACGGAUAUGUCGCGGGGCAGGUGGUCCACGGAUUUUCUGGAUGCGUCAGGUGCAUGGAUGACACAACGUAUCGUCAGCUAGAUAGAGAUCCCGGGUCUUCGAAAACCGUGUUCAUGGGACAUCGAAGGUGGCUUCGCGACGAUGACUCAUGAAGAAAACGCAAGGAUCUGUUCGAUGGUGAAACCGAACCCCGAAAACGCCCCCGUAUGAGGAGCGGCGAGGAAAUAGACGAGUUGUUGAAAAAUUGGAAAGAGUGCCCACCGCCAGGAAAGGCGCCAGAGCCGGGAAAGAAGCGAAAGGCGCCAGAGCCACUGCUGAAGGUAUGGAAAACGAGGUCUGUUUUCUGGGACUUGCCGUACUGGAAGAUCCUCCGUGUGCCUCACAGCCUUGAUGUCAUGCAUAUCACGAAGAACGUGUGCGAGAGUCUGCUUGGUACCCUGCUCAAAAUGCCAGAGAGGACCAAAGAUGGGCCGAAAGCAAGGGCAGACUUGAAAUCAAUGGGCAUCAGGGAGGAGCUUCACGCUAAUGAUGAUGAUGAUGAUGAGGCGAAGCAGGACACGGAAAGUCGUCGCAAAGGCAAAAAGGCCAAGAAGACCGGAAAUGACUUCCCUCCCGCGUGCUUCACUCUAAGUCAGGAGGAGAUCGAUCAGUUUUUCACCUGCCUUGUAGGAGUAAAACUUCCUUACGGUUACGCGGGGAAGAUAAGCAGAUACCUAGACUCAGCGAAGCACAAGUUCAGCGGGAUGAAGUCUCACGACUGUCACGUGAUGAUGACGCAGAUACUUCCAGUUGCAAUCUGUGGGAUCAUGGACGCGCACGUCCGUGAAACGCUAUUUGGCCUAUGCAACUUUUUCAACGUCAUCUCUCGGAAGUCGGUUGGCGUGAGGCAACUCAGAAGGCUACAGGAAGAGAUCGUGGUGAUACUAUGCGAGCUUGACAUGUACUUCCCGCCCGCAUUCUUCGACGUUAUGCUGCAUCUGCUGGUCCAUAUCGUGGAGGAUAUCAUCCAACUCGGGCCGACGUUCCUGCACAGCAUGAUGCCGUUCGAAAGGAUGAAUGGUGUCAUCAAAGGAUACGUUCGCAACAUGUCACGUCCAGAGGGAAGCAUAGCCAGGGGCUUUCUGACCGAAGAGUGCAUCUCCUACUGCACGAAUUAUCUAGGCAUCGAGAACCCCGUUGGUCUGCCCAUCAACAGGCACCUCGGCAGGCUCGCUGGAUGGGGUCACCGUGAGGGUCGCCGCGAAAUGCUUGUCGACUUCGAAGGUCGACUCGCCGACUUUGAAAGAGCAAACCUAGUCGCGCUACAACACGUAGACGUGGUCGAUCCUUGGGUGGUAGAGCACAAAACCUUUAUUGAGAAGACGUACAAUGACAAGGCCAACAGAGGAGGAAUGAAGAUAUAAUCAAAGAGCACAACUCAUGUUUCACGCGUUGGUUCAAGCAGAAGCUUCUGUCGUACCCUUUACAUGAGGAUUCUUCCGCGGAAGAACAACUCAUAUUCGCCUUGUCACAAGGCGCCGAGCACAACCUGAUGACGUAUGAGGCAUACGAUAUCAACGGCUACACAUUCUACACCGAGGGAAAGGACAUGAAGAGCGAUGGUUAUCAGAACUCCGGGGUAACGAUGGAAUCCUACACCGGUAACGACAAGGACAAAUACUACGGAAGGAUCGAGGAGAUCUGGGAGAUGAGCUACGCUGGAGAGAAGGUCCCGAUGUUCCGUGUCAGAUGGGCCAAGAGCGUCAUAAAAGAAGACCGGUAUUUCACCACCAUGGUUAUAUACCCGAAGCCAAAUCCAAGACCGCGGGCGCAAACGUCACCGCGAAAAAUGAGCCAUGGGUACUGGCUUCCCAAGUGGACCAAUGCUUCUUCAUUACCGACCCGCCAAAACCGAGUCAUGUUGUCAUGAGGAGAGGCAAAAGGAAGAUCAUCGGAAUGGAUGGAGUCGCCAAUGAGCAAGACUUCGACAAGUACGGCGACCCGAAGAUGGAACAUGACGACGACGGUGAAAUAGCAGCAUACACCACAAGAAGAAGCAGGACCACCCUACCUAAAGGAAGUCCGUUCAAGAGAAGAACUCCAUUUACGAAAAAUAAGGGUAAGAAGAUUGUGAACAGAUAGCUAGCUAAGAUCGAUUGUAUUUAAAUUGUAGCCUUCAUUUCUCAGUUGUAUUUUGACAUAUUGAAAUGACAUUUCUUCUGUUCUAGUGUCCUCGUGAAUAUUUAUUUAUGUUUAUUAUGGUAUUGAAUUUAUAACUCACAAAAAGUAUUGAAUUUGUUAAUAUUUUUUGAACUCAUGAAUAUUUUUAAAUUUCAUGGGCACUUUUUGAAUUCAUGAUUAUUUUUUUAAAUUUGAUGAUAUUUUUUCAUAUUCAAUAUGAAAAAAUAAUGAAUAUUCAUGAGGACAUUCGAUCUCGAUCCCCCUCCAUCUCGAUCGCUCGCCAGAUCCCCCUCGCCGCCGAGCACCCCCGCACCCUCCCC
This 28909-nucleotide long non-coding RNA is filed under the name Hordeum vulgare. RNAcentral's name for it is "long non-coding RNA (HVUL_LNC007980)". The stretch from base 4299 to 4434 matches the Rfam family "MIR1120/MIR1122 microRNA precursor family". The record is from RNAcentral. Lineage: Eukaryota; Viridiplantae; Streptophyta; Magnoliopsida; Poales; Poaceae.